This 1493-nucleotide ribosomal RNA is filed under the name uncultured Bordetella sp. RNAcentral's name for it is "partial 16S-23S ribosomal RNA intergenic spacer". It matches the Rfam family "Bacterial small subunit ribosomal RNA". The record is from RNAcentral. Lineage: Bacteria; Pseudomonadati; Pseudomonadota; Betaproteobacteria; Burkholderiales; Alcaligenaceae.
CAGAGGGUUUGAUUCUGGCUCAGAUUGAACGCUGGCAGGAUGCUUUACAUGCAAGUCGAACGGCAGCACGGACUUUCGGUCUGGUGGCGAGUGGCGAACGGGUGAGUAAUGUAUCGGAACGUGCCUGGUAGCGGGGGAUAACUACGCGCGAAAGCGUAGCUAAUACCACAUACGCCCUUCGAGGGAAAGCGGGGGACCUUCGGGCUCGCACUGAAGCGGCCGAUAUCGGAUUAGCUAGUUGGUGGGGUAACGGCUCACCAAGGCGACGAUCCGUAGCUGGUUUGAAGGCGACCAGCCACACUGGGACUAGGGCGGCAGACUCUACGGGAGCAGCAGUGAGGAAUUUUGGACAAUGGGGAAACCCGCAAUCCAGCCAUCCCGCGUGUGCGAUGAAGGCCUUCGGGUUGCUGUUAAACACUUUUAGGCGGAAAGAAACGGCGCAGGAUAAUACCCCCGUGCAACUGACGAACACCUGCAGAAUAAGCACCAGCUAACUACGUGCCAGCAGCCGCGGUAAUACGUAGGGUGCCAGCGUUAAUCGGAAUUACUGGGCGUAAAGCGUGCGCAGGCGGUUCGGAAGAAAGAUGUGAAAUCCCAGAGCUUAACUUUGGAACUGCAUUUUAACUUUACCGAGCUAGAGUGUGUCAGAGGAGGUGGAAUUCCGCGUGUAGCGGUGAAUAACAGCGAAUAUGCGGAAGGUACCGAUGGCGAAGGCAGCCUCGCAGGAUAACACUGACGCUCAUGCACGAAAGCGUAGAAACAAACAGGAUUAGAUACCACUGGUAGUCCACGCCUAAACGAUGUCAACUAGCUGUUGGGGCGAACUUCAGGCCUUGGAUGACGCAGCUAACGUGUGAGAUAAACCGUAUCAGGAGAUGAUCCGCAAGUCAACUCAAAGGAAUUGACGGGGACCCGCACAAGCAGUGGAUGAUGGAUAAUUCGAUGCAACGCGAAAAACCUUACCUACCCUUGACAUGUCUGGAAUCCCGAAGAGAUUUGGGAGUGCUCGCAAGAGAACCGGAACACAGGUGCUGCAUGGCUGUCGUCAGCUCGUGUCGUGAGAUGUUGGGUUAAGUCCCGCAACGAGCGCAACCCUUAUCGUCAUUAGUUGCUACGAAGGGCACUCUAAUGAGACUGCCGGUGACAUAUAAACCGGAGGAAGGUGGGGAUGACGGCUUCAAGUCCUCAUGGCCCUUAUAGGUAGGGCUUCCGCACGUCAUGCAAUGGUCAGGACGAGAGGUCGCCAACCCGCGGGAGCCAAUCCCAGAAACCCGAUCGUAGUCCGGAUCGCAGUCCACAACUCGACUGCGUGAAGUCAGAAUCGAUGCUAGUAAUCGCGGAUCAGCAUGUCGCGGUGAAUACGUUCCCGGGUCUUGUACACACCGCCGUCACACCAUGGGAGUGGGUUUUACAGAAGUAGUUAGCCUAGCCCAAUAAGGAGGGCGAUUACCACGGUAAGUUCACAUUAUGGUGGGUGAAGUCGUAACAAGGUA